CCUACGGGUGGCUGCAGUGGGGAAUAUUGGACAAUGGGGGAAACCCUGAUCCAGCAAUGCCGCGUGUGUGAAGAAGGCCUGCGGGUUGUAAAGCACUUUUGUUCGGGAAGAAAACCUGUGGACUAAUACUCUGCGGGGAUGACGGUACCGGAAGAAUAAGCACCGGCUAACUUCGUGCCAGCAGCCGCGGUAAUACGAAGGGUGCAAGCGUUAAUCGGAAUUACUGGGCGUAAAGGGUGCGUAGGCGGCUUUUUAAGUCGGAUGUGAAAGCCCCG
Molecule: ribosomal RNA, 275 nt
Filed under: uncultured bacterium
Lineage: Bacteria
Description: partial 16S ribosomal RNA
Rfam family: Bacterial small subunit ribosomal RNA
Source: RNAcentral